GACAAUAGUGGAAUUGUGACAAGGCUUACAGUGUAGUUAGUAGGAACUGAUGGUGGAGGACGCCCACUAAUUCAGGCUUGGUAUAUUUUGACCAUCUGUCAUUUUAACCUAAGACCUCUUGUUUCAACUCAGAUUCUGAUUCAACAAUUCCUUUUGAUGAAUCAAUAGCCCCUGUGUUCAAGUCUUCGCUAGCCAUGGCUACCUUGCUCUUUGAUCUUGUACUGUAUGGAUGAGUUACUUAAAAACCACAACCAACCACCCUUAUGCUCAAUGAAGAUUACA
RNAcentral lists this long non-coding RNA (282 nucleotides) under Nicotiana benthamiana. Its description in RNAcentral is "long non-coding RNA (NBEN_LNC002996)". The record is from RNAcentral. Lineage: Eukaryota; Viridiplantae; Streptophyta; Magnoliopsida; Solanales; Solanaceae.